Loxodonta africana (African savanna elephant) is the source of this 65-nucleotide transfer RNA. It matches the Rfam family "tRNA". Rfam says of the family: Transfer RNA (tRNA) molecules are approximately 80 nucleotides in length. Lineage: Eukaryota; Metazoa; Chordata; Mammalia; Proboscidea; Elephantidae. The record is from Rfam.
GGAUAGUCCAGUGGUUAAACACUUGGCUGCUAACCAAAAGGUUGGUGGUUCAAACUCACCAUCCG